AUGGGAACGCGAAGAACCUUACCUAGACUUGACAUCUUCUGCAUUAAUCGUAAUGGAUGAAAUCCCUUCGGGGACAGAAUGACAGGUGGUGCAGGGUUGUCGUCAGCUCGUGUCGUGAGAUGUUGGGUUAAGUCCCGCAACGAGCGCAACCCUUAUUACUAGUUGCUACCAUUAAGUUGAGCACUCUAGUGAGACUGCCCGGGUUAACCGGGAGGAAGGCGGGGAUGACGUCAAAUCAUCAUGCCCCUUAUGUCUAGGGCAACACACGUGCUACAAUGGUGAGUACAGAUAGAUGCGAUACCGCAAGGUGGAGCCAAACUCUAAAACUCAUCCCAGUUCGGAUUGUAGGCUGCAACUCGCCUACAUGAAGUUGGAGUUGCUAGUAAUCGCGAAUCAGAAUGUCGCGGUGAAUACGUUCCCGGGUCUUGUACACACCG
RNAcentral lists this ribosomal RNA (437 nucleotides) under uncultured bacterium. RNAcentral describes it as "bacterial SSU rRNA". It matches the Rfam family "Bacterial small subunit ribosomal RNA", at positions 954 to 1392 of the family's 1533-position model. The record is from RNAcentral.